This 400-nucleotide ribosomal RNA is filed under the name uncultured archaeon. Its description in RNAcentral is "bacterial SSU rRNA". It matches the Rfam family "Archaeal small subunit ribosomal RNA", at positions 72 to 473 of the family's 1478-position model. The record is from RNAcentral.
CGGCCCUCGGCUGACGGCUCAGUAACACGUGGAUAAUCUGCCCUAAGGUGGAGGAUAACCUCGGGAAACUGAGAAUAAUACUCCAUAGGUCUAGGAGGCUGGAAUGCACUUAGGCUGAAAACUUCGGUGCCUUAGGAUGAGUCUGCGGACUAUCAGGUUGUAGUCAGGGUAAAGACCUGACUAGCCUACGACGGAUACGGGUUGUGAGAGCAAUAACCCGGAGAUGAUAUCUGAGACACGAUAUCAGGCCCUACGGGGCGCAGCAGGCGCGAAAACUUCGCACUGCGCGAAAGCGCGACGAGGGAAUCCCAAGUGUAUGCACGUUAGUGUAUACUGUUUCUUUGUCUAAAAAGCAGAGAGAGUAAGAGCUGGGUAAGACGGGUGCCAGCCGCCGCGGUAA